Molecule: ribosomal RNA, 440 nt
Filed under: Pseudopaludicola jazmynmcdonaldae
Lineage: Eukaryota; Metazoa; Chordata; Amphibia; Anura; Leptodactylidae
Description: partial 16S ribosomal RNA
Rfam family: Bacterial large subunit ribosomal RNA
Source: RNAcentral
CGUAAUCACUUGUUCUUUAAAUAAGGACUAGUAUGAACGGCAUCACGAGGAUUAUACUGUCUCCUUUACCUAAUUAGUGAAACUAAUCUCCCCGUGAAGAAGCGAGGGUGAUAUUAUAAGACGAGAAGACCCUAUGGAGCUUUAGAUUUAACGACACUUGUCCACAUUAAACUAAAUUUCAGAACUCUAUACACACCUGACAAGAUGAUCGUCAAUCUUAGGUUGGGGUGACCACGGAGCACAAAACAACCUCCUUGCUGAACGACAUUCAAUGUCUUAUUCUCGAGCAACCACUCUAAAAAACGAUAUAUCGACACUCAUUGACCCAAUUUUUGAUCAACGAACCAAGUUACCCUAGGGAUAACAGCGCAAUCCACUUCAAGAGCUCCUAUCGACAAGUGGGUUUACGACCUCGAUGUUGGAUCAGGGUACCCCAGUGG